RNAcentral lists this ribosomal RNA (500 nucleotides) under uncultured Myrionecta. RNAcentral's name for it is "bacterial SSU rRNA". It matches the Rfam family "Eukaryotic small subunit ribosomal RNA", at positions 1212 to 1796 of the family's 1831-position model. The record is from RNAcentral. Lineage: Eukaryota; Ciliophora; Litostomatea; Cyclotrichida; Mesodiniidae.
AACUUACCAGGUCAAGACAUGGGCGUGAUUGACAGGCUAAUGACUUUUCUCGAUUCCAUGGAUGGUGGUGCAUGGUCGCACUUAGUUGGUGCAGUGAUUUGUCAGGUUUAUUCCGGUAACGAACGAGACCUCGGCCUUGUAAAUAGCUAUGCUGCUUACAGGGACAUUGGCGGCUACGCCAAGGAAGCUCGAGGCAAUUGCAGAUCUGGAAUGCCCUUAGAUGUCCUGGGUCGCACGCGUGCUACAAUGACGCCACGAACGAGCUUGCGUGAUGAAAGUUACGCAUAAUCAGCAGUCGGCGUCUUAAGAGAUAGUCUCUUGUAACCGUGGGACUCCAACUAGGAAUGUCUCGUAAGCACAAGUUAACAUCUUGUGUUGAUUACGUCCCUGCUCUUUGUACACACCGCCCGUCGCUCCUACCGAUCGAGUGUUUAGGUGAAUUUGAUGGACGUAAGGAAGUCAAAUAAACCUGAGCUCUAGAGGAAGGAGAAGUCGAGAUU